RNAcentral lists this ribosomal RNA (460 nucleotides) under uncultured bacterium. Its description in RNAcentral is "partial 16S ribosomal RNA". It matches the Rfam family "Bacterial small subunit ribosomal RNA", at positions 338 to 795 of the family's 1533-position model. The record is from RNAcentral.
CCUACGGGAGGCAGCAGUGAGGAAUAUUGGUCAAUGGACGAGAGUCUGAACCAGCCACGUAGCGUGAAGGAUGACUGCCCUAUGGGUUGUAAACUUCUUUUAUAUGGGAAUAAAACGUUCCACGUGUGGGAUUUUGUAUGUACCAUAUGAAUAAGGAUCGGCUAACUCCGUGCCAGCAGCCGCGGUAAUACGGAGGAUACGAGCGUUAUCCGGAUUUAUUGGGUUUAAAGGGAGCGUAGAUGGGUUGUUAAGUCAGGUGUGAAAGUUUGCGGUUCAACCGUAAAAUUGCAAUUGAUAUUGGCAGGCUUGAGUACAGUUGAGGUAGGCGGAAUUCGUGGUGUAGCGGUGAAAUGCUUAGAUAUCACGAAGAACUCCGAUUGCGAAGGCAGCUUACUAAACUGCCACUGACAUUGAUGCUCGAAAGUGUGGGUAUCAAACAGGAUUAGAUACCCUUGUAGUC